This is a long non-coding RNA of Aplysia californica (California sea hare), 882 nucleotides long. RefSeq lists it as uncharacterized. The record is from RefSeq and is a predicted model, not a curated record. Lineage: Eukaryota; Metazoa; Mollusca; Gastropoda; Aplysiida; Aplysiidae. The transcript is spliced from 2 exons.
UCCUCUUCUCUCCUCUCCUCUCUUCACCCCUUUCCGCUCCUUUCCCUCUCUCUCUUCUGCCAGUCAGUCGCUCCGCUACUCGCUCGCUCGCUGCUCGAGCCGCCCAGUUUUUGGAAAUCAGUCGCGGAAGUUAAAAACCCAACUCACGAUUUCAGCCAACAGCCCAGUCUUGAUGAGUCUUGUCAGUGACGGGGCCUGGGCUGGAUGUGAGGCCGUGUGUUCUGUAGAGAGUAUUCUCCCCGGCCGGCCGUAUGCGUCUUUCAAAAAUCUAUUAGUCUCGGAAAACAGAUGUUUCCGUCAGUUACUGUAGCGAAGCGUUAAGUUGGUGGUUCGAGAGUGUCGGGAAUAGAUCUACUGCCAUCUCAGAGGGAGAUUGGAGAAGAAAAGCAAACAAGACAAAAAAAAAUCGACACAUAUACAAACAUACACACACACACACACACAAACACACACAAACACACACAAACACACACACAUACACACACACAGACACACGUACACACUCACACACACACACGCGCGCGCGCGCGUGCAAACACACGCAGAAAGAUAUUUAAGAAAUGAUGCACCGUCAGAAUAAAGAAGAGUUUUCAGACUGGUGACGUAAUGGUAUCGAGAAAUAUUCGAUGGACAAAAAGAAAAAUAGAACCACGCCAUUGAAAUAGAAGAAUAUGAAAAGAAAACAGUCACCAAAAAUAGAUCUAUUUUAAUCGAGUCCUGUAUUAUAUUCUUACUCAGAGAGGAGGCCGUGAGGAUAUUUCAGUGAGUGCCGGAGAAAUGUUUUGAUCUCCAGUGUAGUGAUCAUCAUCGCUUCUAUGUCUGGAUUCUAUAUCUCCGUGUCUUCAAACAGCUGACUGAAGCCACUUCAUAAUGGGAGGGUCU